This 464-nucleotide ribosomal RNA is filed under the name uncultured bacterium. Its description in RNAcentral is "bacterial SSU rRNA". It matches the Rfam family "Bacterial small subunit ribosomal RNA", at positions 339 to 796 of the family's 1533-position model. The record is from RNAcentral.
CUACGGGAGGCAGCAGUGGGGAAUCUUGCGCAAUGGGCGAAAGCCUGACGCAGCGACGCCGCGUGAGUGAUGAAGGCCUUCGGGUUGUAAAGCUCUGUGGGGAGAGACGAAUAAGUGCAGCCUAAUACGUUGCAUGAUGACGGUAUCUCCAUAGCAAGCACCGGCUAACUCUGUGCCAGCAGCCGCGGUAAGACAGAGGGUGCAAACGUUGUUCGGAAUUACUGGGCGUAAAGCGAGUGUAGGCGGUCUCGUAAGUCGGGUGUGAAAGCCCCGGGCUCAACCCGGGAAGUGCACUCGAAACUGCGAGGCUAGAGUACUGGAGAGGUUGGUGGAAUUCUCGGUGUAGAGGUGAAAUUCGUAGAUAUCGAGAGGAACACCGGUGGCGAAGGCGGCCAACUGGACAGAUACUGACGCUGAGACUCGAAAGCGUGGGGAGCAAACAGGAUUAGAAACCCGGGUAGUCC